GAUGAACGCUGGCGGCGUGCCUAAUACAUGCAAGUCGAGCGAACAGACGAGGAGCUUGCUCCUCUGAUGUUAGCGGCGGACGGGUGAGUAACACGUGGAUAACCUACCUAUAAGACUGGGAUAACUUCGGGAAACCGGAGCUAAUACCGGAUAACAUGUUGAACCGCAUGGUUCAACAGUGAAAGACGGUCUUGCUGUCACUUAUAGAUGGAUCCGCGCCGCAUUAGCUAGUUGGUAAGGUAACGGCUUACCAAGGCAACGAUGCGUAGCCGACCUGAGAGGGUGAUCGGCCACACUGGAACUGAGACACGGUCCAGACUCCUACGGGAGGCAGCAGUAGGGAAUCUUCCGCAAUGGGCGAAAGCCUGACGGAGCAACGCCGCGUGAGUGAAGAAGGUCUUCAGAUCGUAAAACUCUGUUAUUAGGGAAGAACAAAUGUGUAAGUAACUAUGCACGUCUUGACGGUACCUAAUCAGAAAGCCACGGCUAACUACGUG
This 497-nucleotide ribosomal RNA is filed under the name uncultured bacterium. RNAcentral's name for it is "partial 16S ribosomal RNA". It matches the Rfam family "Bacterial small subunit ribosomal RNA", at positions 28 to 507 of the family's 1533-position model. The record is from RNAcentral.